This 469-nucleotide ribosomal RNA is filed under the name uncultured bacterium. RNAcentral's name for it is "partial 16S ribosomal RNA". It matches the Rfam family "Bacterial small subunit ribosomal RNA", at positions 28 to 507 of the family's 1533-position model. The record is from RNAcentral.
GACGAACGCUGGCGGCGUGCUUAACACAUGCAAGUCGAACGGAAAGGCCCUGCUUGCAGGGUGCUCGAGUGGCGAACGGGUGAGUAACACGUGGGUGAUCUGCCCCUUACUUUGGGAUAAGCCUGGGAAACUGGGUCUAAUACUGGAUAGGACCAUGCUGUAGGUGGUGUGGUGGAAAGAUUAGUUUCGGUAAGGGAUGAGCUCGCGGCCUAUCAGCUUGUUGGUGGGGUAAUGGCCUACCAAGGCGUCGACGGGUAGCCGGCCUGAGAGGGUGGACGGCCACAUUGGGACUGAGAUACGGCCCAGACUCCUACGGGAGGCAGCAGUGGGGACUAUUGCACAAUAGGCGCAAGCCUGAUGCAGCGACGCCGCGUGGGGGAUGACGGCCUUCGGGUUGUAAACUCCUUUCAGCCAUGACGAAGCCCUUGUGGUGACGGUAGUGGUAGAAGAAGCACCGGCUAACUACGUG